CCUGACUGCUAUCGGAUUGAUACUAAGCCAUGCGAGUCGUUGUAGCAAUACAAGGCAGACGGCUCAGUAACGCGUAGUCAACCUAACCUAUGGACGGGAAUAACCUCGGGAAACUGAGAAUAAUGCCCGAUAGAACAUUAUGCCUGGAAUGGUUUAUGUUCCAAACGAUUUAUCGCCAUAGGAUGGGACUGCGGCCUAUCAGUUUGUUGGUGAGGUAAUGGCCCACCAAGACUAUUACAGGUACGGGCUCUGAGAGGAGUAGCCCGGAGAUGGGUACUGAGACACGGACCCAGGCCCUAUGGGGCGCAGCAGGCGAGAAAACUUUGCAAUGUGCGAAAGCACGACAAGGUUAAUCCGAGUGGUUUCUGCUAAAGGAACCUUUUGUCAGUCCUAAAAACACUAACGAAUAAGGGGUGGGCAAGUUCUGGUGUCAGCCGCCGCGGUAAAACCAGCACCUCAAGUGGUCAGGAUGAUUAUUGGGCCUAAAGCAUCCGUAGCCGGCUCUGUAAGUUUUCGGUUAAAUCUGUACGCUCAACGUACAGGCUGCCGGAAAUACUGCACAGCUAGGGAGUGGGAGAGGUAGACGGUACUCGGUAGGAAGGGGUAAAAUCCUUUGAUCUAUUGAUGACCACCUGUGGCGAAGGCGGUCUACCAGAACACGUCCGACGGUGAGGGAUGAAAGCUGGGGGAGCAAACCGGAUUAGAUACCCGGGUAGUCCCAGCUGUAAACUAUGCAAACUCAGUGAUGCAUUGGCUUAUGGCCAAUGCAGUGCUGCAGGGAAGCCGUUAAGUUUGCCGCCUGGGAAGUACGUACGCAGUAUGAAACUUAAGGAAUUGGCGGGGGAGCACACAGGGGUGAAKCCUGCGUUC
Molecule: ribosomal RNA, 870 nt
Filed under: uncultured archaeon
Lineage: Archaea
Description: bacterial SSU rRNA
Rfam family: Archaeal small subunit ribosomal RNA
Source: RNAcentral